This 537-nucleotide ribosomal RNA is filed under the name Osprynchotus objurgator. RNAcentral describes it as "partial 16S large subunit ribosomal RNA". The stretch from base 407 to 537 matches the Rfam family "Archaeal large subunit ribosomal RNA", at positions 2542 to 2672 of the family's 2987-position model. The record is from RNAcentral. Lineage: Eukaryota; Metazoa; Arthropoda; Insecta; Hymenoptera; Ichneumonidae.
UCGCCUGUUUAUCAAAAACAUGUCUUAGUGAAAAUAAUUUUAAGUCUGAUCUGCUCCAUGAUUAAUUUUAAAUAGCUGCAGAAUUUUAACUGUACAAAGGUAGCAAAAUCAAUAGUUUUUUAAUUAAAAGCUGGAAUGAAAGAUUUGAUAAGGUAAAAGUUGUCUCAAAUUUAAUAAUAUUAAAAUUUUUUGUUUAGUAAAAAUACUAAAAUGAAAUUAAAAGACGAGAAGACCCUAUAGAUUUUUAUAUUUUAGGUUAAAUUAUAUUGAAAGGUUAAAUUAAAAUUUAACUAAAAAAUAUUAGGUUGGGGAAAUUAUUAAAUUUAAAGAAUUUUAAUUAAAUUAAAACAUUAAUUUAUGAUAAGUUGAUCUUAAUAUUUAAAUUAUGAGAAUAAAAUACCUUAGGGAUAACAGCGUAAUUUUUUUGGAGAGUUCUUAUUGAUAAAAAAGAUUGCGACCUCGAUGUUGAAUUAAGAUAAAAUUUUAAUGAAGAAGUUAAAAAUUUUUGGUCUGUUCGACCAUUAAAAUCUUACGUGA